This 293-nucleotide ribosomal RNA is filed under the name uncultured bacterium. RNAcentral's name for it is "partial 16S ribosomal RNA". It matches the Rfam family "Archaeal small subunit ribosomal RNA", at positions 455 to 747 of the family's 1478-position model. The record is from RNAcentral.
GUGCCAGCCGCCGCGGUAAUACCGGCAGCCCGAGUGAUGGCCGAUCUUAUUUGGCCUAAAGCGUCCGUAGCCGGCCUCGCAAGUCCGUCGGGAAAUCCAGUAGCUCAACUACUGGGCGUCCGGCGGAAACUACAAGGCUUGGGACCGGAAGGCUCGAGGAGUACGUCCGGGGUAGGAGUGAAAUCCCGUAAUCCCGCACGGACCACCGAUGGCGAAAGCACUCUGAGAAGACGGCUUCGACAGUGAGGGACGAAAGCUCGGGUCUCAAACCGGAUUAGAAACCCUAGUAGUCC